GACGAACGCUGGCGGCGUGCUUAACACAUGCAAGUCGAACGAUGAACCCGGAGCUUGCUCCGGCGGAUUAGUGGCGAACGGGUGAGUAACACGUGAGAAACCUGCCCUUGACUCUGGGAUAACUGCGGGAAACUGUAGCUAAUACCGGAUACGACCCUCGGCGGCAUCGCCAGGGGUGGAAAGAAUUUCGGUCAAGGAUGGAUCGGCGGCCUAUAAGCUAGUUGGUGAGGUACCGGCUCCCCAAGGCGACGACGGGUAGCCGGCCUGAGAGGGUGACCGGCCGCACUGGGACUGAGGCACGGCCCAGACUCCUACGGGAGGCAGCAGUGGGGAAUAUUGCACAAUGGGCGCAAGCCUGAUGCAGCAACGCCGCGUGAGGGAUGACGGCCUUCGGGUUGUAAACCUCUUUUAGUAGGGAAGAAGCGAAAGUGACGGUACCUGCAGAAAAAGCACCGGCUAACUACGUGCCAGCAGCCGCGGUAA
Molecule: ribosomal RNA, 483 nt
Filed under: uncultured bacterium
Lineage: Bacteria
Description: partial 16S ribosomal RNA
Rfam family: Bacterial small subunit ribosomal RNA
Source: RNAcentral